UACGAAGGGGGCUAGCGUUGCUCGGAAUCACUGGGCGUAAAGGGUGCGUAGGCGGAAUGUUAAGUCAGGGGUGAAAUCCCGGGGCUCAACCCCGGAACUGCCUUUGAUACUGGCAUUCUCGAGUCCGGAAGAGGUGAGUGGAAUUCCGAGUGUAGAGGUGAAAUUCGUAGAUAUUCGGAGGAACACCAGUGGCGAAGGCGGCUCACUGGUCCGGUACUGACGCUGAGGUGCGAAAGCGUGGGGAGCAAACAGG
This 253-nucleotide ribosomal RNA is filed under the name uncultured bacterium. RNAcentral's name for it is "partial 16S ribosomal RNA". It matches the Rfam family "Bacterial small subunit ribosomal RNA", at positions 524 to 776 of the family's 1533-position model. The record is from RNAcentral.